CCUACGGGAGGCUGCAGUGAGGAAUAUUGGUCAAUGGACGAGAGUCUGAACCAGCCAAGUCGCGUGAAGGAAGACUGUCCUAUGGGUUGUAAACUUCUUUUAUCUGGGAAUAAAAUGCUCCACGUGUGGCGUUCUGUAUGUACCCGAUGAAUAAGCAUCGGCUAACUCCGUGCCAGCAGCCGCGGUAAUACGGAGGAUGCGAGCGUUAUCCGGAUUUAUUUGGUUUAAAGGGAGCGCAGGCGGAAUGUUAAGUCAGGUGUGAAAGUUUGCGGCUCAACCGUAUAAGUGCAGUUGAAACUGGGAUUCUUGAGUACGGUAGAGGUGUGCGGAAUGCGUGGUGUAGCGGUGAAAUGCUUAGAUAUCACGAAGAACUCCGAUUGCGAAGGCAGCUCACUGGAGCGCAACUGACGCUGAGGCACGAAAGUGUGGGUAUCGAACAGGAUUAGAUACCCGAGUAGUC
RNAcentral lists this ribosomal RNA (460 nucleotides) under uncultured bacterium. RNAcentral describes it as "partial 16S ribosomal RNA". It matches the Rfam family "Bacterial small subunit ribosomal RNA", at positions 338 to 795 of the family's 1533-position model. The record is from RNAcentral.